Molecule: ribosomal RNA, 253 nt
Filed under: uncultured bacterium
Lineage: Bacteria
Description: partial 16S ribosomal RNA
Rfam family: Bacterial small subunit ribosomal RNA
Source: RNAcentral
UACAGAGGGGGCAAGCGUUGUUCGGAAUUACUGGGCGUAAAGGGCGCGUAGGCGGCCUGCUAAGUCGGACGUGAAAUCCCCGGGCUCAACCCGGGAACUGCGUCCGAUACUGGUUGGCUUGAAUCCGGGAGAGGGAUGCAGAAUUCCAGGUGUAGCGGUGAAAUGCGUAGAUAUCUGGAGGAAUACCGGUGGCGAAGGCGGCAUCCUGGACCGGCAUUGACGCUGAGGAGCGAAAGCCAGGGGAGCAAACGGG